CGGGCCGCGUAGCUAUCCGAGGGAUCCCGCACUCUCUCUUUGCUCCUCAAAGAUUAACUGGUUCUGUUUUACGUCAAUGCCUGGCGCUCCCCAGGUUCAGCACCAGCUCGGCCCUGACUCUGACUGCAUAUGCCUGUCCCAGAUCAUUAGAACAAGUCAAGUUAGUCCACCAGCAGUGAAAACACUGCAGCGAAUAACUGCUCAGGCACCAGUUUAAAGUGGUUAUUGGAGGAGGAAAGUGCGGCGAGUAGGGAGCGAGUGAACUUGACCUCUACAAGGGCCCUGAGCUGGCCAUGGAGGUGCUUAUGAGUAAGCGCGGUAGAACCUGAGCCCACAGGUUCACUUUAAUUUCUGGCUUCCGAGGCCCGUUUGAUUUCACAUGAAUUUGACCCUCCAGACUUAGUUCAUCUCAUCUUUCGGCUGCAAGUCACACAUAAGCAGACUGGAAAAUCUAUCAGCAUCAACUACCGUACUGAUUAUCAGUGGUGGGCAAAGCCUUGCUUAGGUUCUAGAAAGAAGAAAAAUAAUCCAUGUCCUCAGAAAGCUUUACAAUUUAUUUGAAGAGAUAUGUUUAUAUUUAGA
Myotis brandtii (Brandt's bat) is the source of this 582-nucleotide long non-coding RNA. RefSeq lists it as uncharacterized. The record is from RefSeq and is a predicted model, not a curated record. NCBI's taxonomy places the organism in Eukaryota, Metazoa, Chordata, Mammalia, Chiroptera, Vespertilionidae. The transcript has 3 exons.